This 205-nucleotide ribosomal RNA is filed under the name uncultured bacterium. Its description in RNAcentral is "partial 16S ribosomal RNA". It matches the Rfam family "Bacterial small subunit ribosomal RNA", at positions 524 to 729 of the family's 1533-position model. The record is from RNAcentral.
UACGUAGGGUGCGAGCGUUGUCCGGAAUUAUUGGGCGUAAAGAGCUUGUAGGCGGUUUGUCGCGUCUGCUGUGAAAAUCCGGGGCUCAACCCCGGACUUGCAGUGGGUACGGGCAGACUAGAGUGUGGUAGGGGAGACUGGAAUUCCUGGUGUAGCGGUGGAAUGCGCAGAUAUCAGGAGGAACACCCGUGGCGAAGGCGGGCUC